Molecule: ribosomal RNA, 452 nt
Filed under: uncultured bacterium
Lineage: Bacteria
Description: bacterial SSU rRNA
Rfam family: Bacterial small subunit ribosomal RNA
Source: RNAcentral
UACGGAAGGCAGCAGUGGGGAAUAUUGCACAAUGGGCGCAAGCCUGAUGCAGCCAUGCCGCGUGUAUGAAGAAGGCCUUCGGGUUGUAAAGUACUUUCAGUCGUGAGGAAGGUGUUAAGGUUAAUAACCUUAGCAAUUGACGUUAGCGACAGAAGAAGCACCGGCUAACUCCGUGCCAGCAGCCGCGGUAAUACGGAGGGUGCGAGCGUUAAUCGGAAUUACUGGGCGUAAAGGGCACGCAGGCGGUUAAUUAAGUUGGAUGUGAAAUCCCCGGGCUUAACCUGGGAAUGGCAUUCAAGACUGGUUAGCUAGAGUCUUGUAGAGGGGGUAGAAUUCCAUGUGUAGCGGUGAAAUGCGUAGAGAUGUGGAGGAAUACCGGUGGCGAAGGCGGCCCCUGGACAAAGACUGACGCUCAUGUGCGAAAGCGUGGGGAGCGAAACAGGGAUUUAGAU